This 78-nucleotide transfer RNA is filed under the name Promethearchaeota archaeon. RNAcentral's name for it is "Candidatus Lokiarchaeota archaeon (marine sediment metagenome) tRNA-Arg". It matches the Rfam family "tRNA". From Rfam's summary of the family: Transfer RNA (tRNA) molecules are approximately 80 nucleotides in length. Their secondary structure includes four short double-helical elements and three loops (D, anti-codon, and T loops). Further hydrogen bonds mediate the characteristic L-shaped molecular structure. tRNAs have two regions of fundamental functional importance: the anti-codon, which is responsible for specific mRNA codon recognition, and the 3' end, to which the tRNAs corresponding amino acid is attached (by aminoacyl-tRNA synthetases). tRNAs cope with the degeneracy of the genetic code in two manners: having more than one tRNA (with a specific anti-codon) for a particular amino acid; and 'wobble' base-pairing, i.e. permitting non-standard base-pairing at the 3rd anti-codon position. The record is from RNAcentral. Lineage: Archaea; Promethearchaeati; Promethearchaeota.
AGGCCCGUGGCCUAGUUCGGAUAAGGCGGCAGCCUCCUAAGCUGAAGAUCGGGGGUUCAAAUCCCCUCGGGCCUGCCA